GACGAACGCUGGCGGCGUGCUUAACACAUGCAAGUCGAACGGAAAGGCCCCGCUUUUGUGGGGUGCUCGAGUGGCGAACGGGUGAGUAACACGUGAGUAACCUGCCCCUGACUUUGGGAUAACUUCAGGAAACUGGGGCUAAUACCGGAUAGGAGCUCCUGCUGCAUGGUGGGGGUUGGAAAGUUUCGGCGGUUGGGGAUGGACUCGCGGCUUAUCAGCUUGUUGGUGGGGUAGUGGCUUACCAAGGCUUUGACGGGUAGCCGGCCUGAGAGGGUGACCGGCCACAUUGGGACUGAGAUACGGCCCAGACUCCUACGGGAGGCAGCAGUGGGGAAUAUUGCACAAUGGGCGGAAGCCUGAUGCAGCAACGCCGCGUGCGGGAUGACGGCCUUCGGGUUGUAAACCGCUUUCGCCUGUGACGAAGCGUGAGUGACGGUAAUGGGUAAAGAAGCACCGGCUAACUACGUG
RNAcentral lists this ribosomal RNA (468 nucleotides) under uncultured bacterium. RNAcentral's name for it is "partial 16S ribosomal RNA". It matches the Rfam family "Bacterial small subunit ribosomal RNA", at positions 28 to 507 of the family's 1533-position model. The record is from RNAcentral.